AAGAAUAUCUGACAAUACAUCAUCGACACAUGACGAACAUGGGUAAAGGACUAGUGGGAACCAACAAGGCAUUGAUAUGCUUGUGGUUGGUGAUGCUGCUUCUCCUUUCAUCUGAAGAGAUGAGAUCUGAUGGCUGUGAAGGUCAUGAUAGCCAAACCUGGGAUGGCAACAUGUGUGUAAAGCACGGCACCUGCAAUGUGGUCUGCCAAAGAGAGGGUUAUGACAGAGGCCGCUGCUACGUGACUGUAUGCAGGUGCUACAAGAACUGCACUGCUCUACCAAUUUAGGCAUAUGAUCAUUUCGUGGAUGCUCGGUCGGUGCUAUUGCUAUGAGUCUAUGCAUUACAACAUAAGUAAAUCAAGAGGCUCCCUAUACAUGCAAUAAUAAAGGAUUCGUGCUUGAUGGUGUAA
Long non-coding RNA from Triticum urartu, 410 nucleotides. RefSeq lists it as uncharacterized. The record is from RefSeq and is a predicted model, not a curated record. NCBI's taxonomy places the organism in Eukaryota, Viridiplantae, Streptophyta, Magnoliopsida, Poales, Poaceae.